UUUUGUUCUAAGUUGAUCAAGGAAUAUUUCAUCUGAUACAUGAAAAGACAAUGAAGACUGCUAGCUAUUGGAAUGCUUGCUUGGAUGUGGCUAUCUUUAUUUGAUGUCUUGAUCUUCAUGAUGUUUGGAUAUUAUUCAUUUCUUAUUGAUCAUUGCUUGAUUAAAGUCCAAAGGAAAAUGGGUUUCUAUAUGACAUUCUUGUCUGUUGGAUUGCAUUCCAUUGGUCAGAUCUUUUCAACUCUUAAAUUUUAAAUUUGUGCUUAGGAUAGC
RNAcentral lists this long non-coding RNA (270 nucleotides) under Lathyrus oleraceus (garden pea). RNAcentral describes it as "Pisum sativum (pea) long non-coding RNA (PSAT_LNC009200)". Lineage: Eukaryota; Viridiplantae; Streptophyta; Magnoliopsida; Fabales; Fabaceae. The record is from RNAcentral.